AGGCUUAACACAUGCAAGUCGAGGGGCAUCAGGAAGAAAGCUUGCUUUCUUUGCUGGCGACCGGCGCACGGGUGAGUAACACGUAUCCAACCUGCCCUUUACUCGGGGAUAGCCUUUCGAAAGAAAGAUUAAUACCCGAUGGCAUAAUGAUUCCGCAUGGUUUCAUUAUUAAAGGAUUCCGGUAAAGGAUGGGGAUGCGUUCCAUUAGGUUGUUGGUGAGGUAACGGCUCACCAAGCCUUCGAUGGAUAGGGGUUCUGAGAGGAAGGUCCCCCACAUUGGAACUGAGACACGGUCCAAACUCCUACGGGAGGCAGCAGUGAGGAAUAUUGGUCAAUGGGCGCUAGCCUGAACCAGCCAAGUAGCGUGAAGGAUGAAGGCUCUAUGGGUCGUAAACUUCUUUUAUAUAAGAAUAAAGUGCAGUAUGUAUACUGUUUUGUAUGUAUUAUAUGAAUAAGGAUCGGCUAACUCCGUGCCAGCAGCCGCGGUAAUACGGAGGAUCCGAGCGUUAUCCGGAUUUAUUGGGUUUAAAGGGAGCGUAGGUGGACUGGUAAGUCAGUUGUGAAAGUUUGCGGCUCAACCGUAAAAUUGCAGUUGAUACUGUCAGUCUUGAGUACAGUAGAGGUGGGCGGAAUUCGUGGUGUAGCGGUGAAAUGCUUAGAUAUCACGAAGAACUCCGAUUGCGAAGGCAGCUCACUGGACUGCAACUGACACUGAUGCUCGAAAGUGUGGGUAUCAAACAGGAUUAGAUACCCUGGCAGUCCACACAGUAAACGAUGAAUACUCGCUGUUUGCGAUAUACAGUAAGCGGCCAAGCGAAAGCAUUAAGUAUUCCACCUGGGGAGUACGCCGGCAACGGUGAAACUCAAAGGAAUUGACGGGGGCCCGCACAAGCGGAGGAACAUGUGGUUUAAUUCGAUGAUACGCGAGGAACCUUACCCGGGCUUAAAUUGCAGUGGAAUGAUGUGGAAACAUGUCAGUGAGCAAUCACCGCUGUGAAGGUGCUGCAUGGUUGUCGUCAGCUCGUGCCGUGAGGUGUCGGCUUAAGUGCCAUAACGAGCGCAACCCUUAUCUUUAGUUACUAACAGGUUAUGCUGAGGACUCUAGAGAGACUGCCGUCGUAAGAUGUGAGGAAGGUGGGGAUGACGUCAAAUCAGCACGGCCCUUACGUCCGGGGCUACACACGUGUUACAAUGGGGGGUACAGAAGGCAGCUAGCGGGUGACCGUAUGCUAAUCCCAAAAGCCUCUCUCAGUUCGGAUCGAAGUCUGCAACCCGACUUCGUGAAGCUGGAUUCGCUAGUAAUCGCGCAUCAGCCACGGCGCGGUGAAUACGUUCCCGGGCCUUGUACACACCGCCCGUCAAGCCAUGGGAGCCGGGGGUACCUGAAGUACGUAACCGCAAGGAUCGUCCUAGGGUAAAACUGGUGACUGGGGCUAAGUCG
This 1441-nucleotide ribosomal RNA is filed under the name uncultured organism. Its description in RNAcentral is "SSU rRNA". It matches the Rfam family "Bacterial small subunit ribosomal RNA". The record is from RNAcentral.